UGGGGAAUAUUGGACAAUGGGCGCAAGCCUGAUCCAGCAAUGCCGCGUGUGUGAAGAAGGCCUUCGGGUUGUAAAGCACUUUUAUCAGGAGCGAAACGCUGUCGGCUAAUACCCGGCGGAACUGACGGUACCUGAGGAAUAAGCACCGGCUAACUUCGUGCCAGCAGCCGCGGUAAUACGAAGGGUGCAAGCGUUAAUCGGAAUUACUGGGCGUAAAGCGUGCGUAGGCGGUUUCUUAAGUCUGCUGUGAAAUCCCCGGGCUCAACCUGGGAAUGGCAGUGGAUACUGGGAGGCUAGAGUGUGUCAGAGGGUGGUGGAAUUCCCGGUGUAGCGGUGAAAUGCGUAGAGAUCGGGAGGAACAUCAGUGGCGAAGGCGGCCACCUGGGACAACACUGACGCUGAGGCACGAAAGCGUGGGGAGCAAACAGGAUUAGAUACCCUGGUAGUCCACGCCCUAAAAGCGAUGCGAACUGGAUGUUGGUCUCAACUCGGAGAUCAGUGUCGAAGCUAACGCGUUAAGUUCGCCGCCUGGGGAGUACGGUCGCAAGACU
Molecule: ribosomal RNA, 551 nt
Filed under: uncultured bacterium
Lineage: Bacteria
Description: partial 16S ribosomal RNA
Rfam family: Bacterial small subunit ribosomal RNA
Source: RNAcentral